CUUUCUCUUAACAAGUCGGGUUCCAGCAGACUCGCUAACAUGCCCGUAUCAGACAGAGGAAACUGGAACAUGGCAGAUCAAAGAGUCUUGCUGUAAAUAAAAAGACCUGCAAGAUGCUGGGAAAACAUCCUUGCUGUGAAAUCUCUUCUGAUCGACCAGUAUUUGCCCCGUGUGUCUUGAGCUUUCUGAUCCCAUCUGUCACCACAGACAGUCCUUGAAAGG
Molecule: long non-coding RNA, 222 nt
Organism: Candoia aspera
Lineage: Eukaryota; Metazoa; Chordata; Lepidosauria; Squamata; Candoiidae
Exons: 2
Source: RefSeq, a predicted model, not a curated record